This is a long non-coding RNA of Pseudophryne corroboree (corroboree frog), 468 nucleotides long. RefSeq lists it as uncharacterized. NCBI's taxonomy places the organism in Eukaryota, Metazoa, Chordata, Amphibia, Anura, Myobatrachidae. The record is from RefSeq and is a predicted model, not a curated record. The transcript is spliced from 2 exons.
GAUAAAAAAACACAACAAGAACAAGGGAGUACCAGGUGUAAGCAGAAUUUUGGCAUGAGCAAGUGUAGUUGUCCGUAAAACAAGGAGAAAACAUCAAGAAUCGACUUACAGCAAGGUGGCAAUCAAUGUGGUGAAACAAAGCUAGUCAGUGGAGAGGAGUCAAGUUGCUGUCGGAAGCUGAAGAUGGUCAGUGCAGCACAACCACUUCACAGAGCCAUGCCAGGACCAUCUAUCUGAUGUUAAAGUACACAUCCAAUUUUCUAAGUUAUUAUAUAUCAUUUAUAUCUUCGGUAAUUGCUGCUAAAAUUACUAAAGUUUUGAGCAGAAAAUAAGAAGCAUGGAGAUAUCUCGUUGAUGAUGUAUUGUACAUUACAUCUAUGUUGCAUUACUUGCUUGUACAGCAGCAGUACAUGUCAGGGGUGCAUUGGGUUUCAGCAUUAAUAAACCAAUAAAUGCUGUAUAACUAGA